Molecule: ribosomal RNA, 460 nt
Filed under: uncultured bacterium
Lineage: Bacteria
Description: partial 16S ribosomal RNA
Rfam family: Bacterial small subunit ribosomal RNA
Source: RNAcentral
CCUACGGGAGGCAGCAGUGAGGAAUAUUGGUCAAUGGGCGCGAGCCUGAACCAGCCAAGUAGCGUGAAGGAUGACUGCCCUACGGGUUGUAAACUUCUUUUAUAAAGGAAUAAAGUGUGGCACGUGUGCCUUUUUGUAUGUACUUUAUGAAUAAGGAUCGGCUAACUCCGUGCCAGCAGCCGCGGUAAUACGGAGGAUCCGAGCGUUAUCCGGAUUUAUUGGGUUUAAAGGGAGCGUAGAUGGGUUGUUAAGUCAGUUGUGAAAGGCUGGGGCUCAACCGUAAAAUUGCAAUUGAUACUGGCAGUCUUGAGUAGAGUUGAGGUAGGCGGAAUUCGUGGUGUAGCGGUGAAAUGCUUAGAGAUCACGAAGAACUCCGAUUGCGAAGGCAGCUUACUAAACUGCCACUGACAUUGAGGCACGAAAGUGUGGGUAUCAAACAGGAUUAGAUACCCGUGUAGUC